Molecule: ribosomal RNA, 1138 nt
Filed under: Flavobacterium sp.
Lineage: Bacteria; Pseudomonadati; Bacteroidota; Flavobacteriia; Flavobacteriales; Flavobacteriaceae
Description: bacterial SSU rRNA
Rfam family: Bacterial small subunit ribosomal RNA
Source: RNAcentral
GGGUAUAGUUCUUCGGAAUUAGAGACCGGCGCACGGGUGCGUAACGCGUAUGCAAUCUACCUUUCACAGAGGGAUAGCCCAGAGAAAUUUGGAUUAAUACCUCAUAGUAUAGCAGUUUCGCAUGAAACCACUAUUAAAGAUUUAUCGGUGAAAGAUGAGCAUGCGUCCCAUUAGUUAGUUGGUAAGGUAACGGCUUACCAAGACAACGAUGGGUAGGGGUCCUGAGAGGGAGAUCCCCCACACUGGUACUGAGACACGGACCAGACUCCUACGGGAGGCAGCAGUGAGGAAUAUUGGACAAUGGGCGCAAGCCUGAUCCAGCCAUGCCGCGUGCAGGAUGACGGUCCUAUGGAUUGUAAACUGCUUUUAUACGAGAAGAAACACUCCGACGUGUCGGAGCUUGACGGUAUCGUAAGAAUAAGGAUCGGCUAACUCCGUGCCAGCAGCCGCGGUAAUACGGAGGAUCCAAGCGUUAUCCGGAAUCAUUGGGUUUAAAGGGUCCGUAGGCGGUCAGAUAAGUCAGUGGUGAAAGCCCAUCGCUCAACGGUGGAACGGCCAUUGAUACUGUCUGACUUGAAUUAUUAGGAAGUAACUAGAAUAUGUAGUGUAGCGGUGAAAUGCUUAGAGAUUACAUGGAAUACCAAUUGCGAAGGCAGGUUACUACUAAUAUAUUGACGCUGAUGGACGAAAGCGUGGGUAGCGAACAGGAUUAGAUACCCUGGUAGUCCACGCCGUAAACGAUGGAUACUAGCUGUUGGGCGCAAGUUCAGUGGCUAAGCGAAAGUGAUAAGUAUCCCACCUGGGGAGUACGUUCGCAAGAAUGAAACUCAAAGGAAUUGACGGGGGCCCGCACAAGCGGUGGAGCAUGUGGUUUAAUUCGAUGAUACGCGAGGAACCUUACCAAGGCUUAAAUGUAGAUUGACCGGUUUGGAAACAGAACUUUCGCAAGACAAUUUACAAGGUGCUGCAUGGUUGUCGUCAGCUCGUGCCGUGAGGUGUCAGGUUAAGUCCUAUAACGAGCGCAACCCCUGUUGUUAGUUGCCAGCGAGUCAAGUCGGGAACUCUAACAAGACUGCCAGUGCAAACUGUGAGGAAAGGGGGGGAUGACGUCAAAUCAUCACGGGCCCUUACGCCUUGG